This 490-nucleotide ribosomal RNA is filed under the name uncultured bacterium. RNAcentral describes it as "partial 16S ribosomal RNA". It matches the Rfam family "Bacterial small subunit ribosomal RNA", at positions 30 to 507 of the family's 1533-position model. The record is from RNAcentral.
AUUGAACGCUGGCGGCAGGCCUAACACAUGCAAGUCGAACGGUAACAGGAAGAAGCUUGCUUCUUUGCUGACGAGUGGCGGACGGGUGAGUAAUGUCUGGGAAACUGCCUGAUGGAGGGGGAUAACUACUGGAAACGGUAGCUAAUACCGCAUAACGUCGCAAGACCAAAGAGGGGGACCUUCGGGCCUCUUGCCAUCGGAUGUGCCCAGAUGGGAUUAGCUAGUAGGUGGGGUAACGGCUCACCUAGGCGACGAUCCCUAGCUGGUCUGAGAGGAUGACCAGCCACACUGGAACUGAGACACGGUCCAGACUCCGACGGGAGGCAGCAGUGGGGAAUAUUGCACAAUGGGCGCAAGCCUGAUGCAGCCAUGCCGCGUGUAUGAAGAAGGCCUUCGGGUUGUAAAGUACUUUCAGCGGGGAGGAAGGGAGUAAAGUUAAUACCUUUGCUCAUUGACGUUACCCGCAGAAGAAGCACCGGCUAACUCCGUG